RNAcentral lists this long non-coding RNA (5110 nucleotides) under Sus scrofa (pig). RNAcentral's name for it is "lncRNA (ENSSSCG00000059377.1)". The record is from RNAcentral. Lineage: Eukaryota; Metazoa; Chordata; Mammalia; Artiodactyla; Suidae.
CAAGCAGAAUCUUUGGAGUUUGUUUUUAGACACAUGUUCACCUUUUCCCCCGGUUUUGGCCUCCUGACUAAAGCAACCUUUCCUUCCCAACCAAUGCUUGUCUCUCAAGUAAUGGCAUUCAAAUGGCAAGCAGCAGAACCUGAGUUGGGUGACACACUCAACUUAUUGUGCCUAUUUUAAUUGGUAGGUGGAAGCCCCCAAAGUCUUCAAAAUUCCAAAAUAGCCUCUUUGAAAGAUUUGUUGUAGAAGGCUGAUGAAAAAUGAAUGAUAUAAAAGGUGCCUAAAACUUUACUGCUCCCCUCUAUUCUUGAGUACUUAUUCUUGUAAUAUUCUAUCUGAUGGUAUUUCCACUCUGAAGACAUUAUUAAAUGAUUAUUAAAUGAUUACCUUUAGAAAUGGGAUCACACGAAACUGUAGGCAAGCCUCUUCAGAUCAAAGGCCAAUACAAGGGCCAUAGCUAAAGAAUUUUUUAAACCCAGGGGGAAAAUCCUUAGAAUUAUUUGUAAAUAGAUUACCAAAAUGGGAGGCCAAUGGUCUGACUGUAUGUAGCUGAUAUUCAGAGACUGCCAGGAAUUUUUGGGGGGAUAGAGGGUUUUCUCCACUAGGUUAAUUAAGGGAGAGUAAAACAUUCCAACAUAUUUGAAUAGGUGUGUAUCAGUCCUUCAAUAUCAUUGAAGAGGCCACCCAAUUCUUUGAGGAAAAAAAUUCUCAUUUUAAAAAUCUAGUCUUUUCAGGACCAGAGGGGUGGCUCAGAAAUAAUCCAAAGCCUACCCAUCCUUUUACCACUCCCAUAAUUUCCCCUAUUUAUCUCAAGAGGUUUGUAAGUAUUGAGAAAAUAAAUCUUUUUUUUUUUUUUUUCUGGUCUUAAGAGAACAAAGUCAUUCUAGGAAUUACUAGAGGUAAGUGUCUAUUUCCUCCUACACCUUUGAAGUGAAAAUGUUCUAUGUAGUCUUCUACAGGAAAUCUAGCUCCACCAUAUUUUCAAAAUCCAUAUUUCAGGAAAGGAAGUAGGUAAUUUGGAACUUGACUUGUUAAAGACAAAUAGAAAUCUUAAAUGUCUUUUUCAUAAAUAUUAGUUUAAAAGGGUUUAAGCCAUCUACACAGGUGACCUUGAUUUGCUCUAUCUGCUAGAAGCCAAAUUUGAAUCCAACCUCUUUUGUAACUGAUGAGAUUUACUAUUGCUGUACCAACUCAUGGCUAAACUUUUGGAAUGUGACCUAUGAAAUCUCUGUGUCUGUGCAUUUGUAUAUAUUUAUAUAUGUGUACUGUAGAUGUGUGGUAUUGCCAAAAUUAAUUUGUAGAAGAGCUCUAUUUAAUUGCCUUAAAGGGAAUUAACCACUUAAAUAAAUACUGAGAAAUAUGAAAGAAACUGGCCAGAAUGAAUUUUGGACUCAUGUGAUCUGGGGAAUAUUUAAUAUUGAAUUAAUAAUCCGGUAUUUAAUUUAGCUUAGGCUUGUUGGUUUAAUUAAUACAGACAUGCCUUUAGAGUCAUAAAUAUUGAGUAUAAUAUUGUACCUAGGUUUAUAGAAAUCAAACAUUAUUACUCCUGUUACAAAGUUUGUCAGCAAAAUUUGUUAAGAAAAAUAAUGAUAUGAUGAAAUUUUAAUUAAAUAAAACAAGUUUAAGUGAGAUAAGAACUUUUAAGUAAACCCUUUAGGGAUGAUUAUGUUGUGCGAAUAUCUGCUUUAAGAACAGUAACUGUAGAUUUUGGUAAAUAGAAACUAAAACAAGUUAAAUUAUAAGAAUUCAUUCACUAUCUGGGUCACUUUAACUAGUAUAAAAUACUGGAACUAAGAAAAAACUGCAAACAACACAAACAUGUGAAGGCUAAACAAUAUUCUAUGAAACAACCAGUGGAACACUGGAGAAGUCAAAAAUGAAAUAAAAAAAAAUACCUAGAGACAAGUGAAAAUGAAAACACGAUCACCCAAAACCCGUGGGACAGAGCAAAAGCAUUUCUAAGAGGGAAGUUUAUAGCAAAACAAGCUUAUCUCAGAAAAUAAGAAUACUCUCAUAUAAACAACCUAACCUCACACCAAAGCAACUAGAGAAGAAAAAAACGAAACCCACAAUCAGUAGGAGGAAAAAAACCCAAAAAGAUAAGACCAGAAACAGAAGCAAAUAGAAAAGAUUAAUGAAACUAAAAGCUGGUUCUUUGAAAAUAUCAACAAAAUUGAUAAAUCUUUACCCAGACUCAUCAAGAAAAAAAUGGAAAAAGGCUCAAAUAAGUAAAAUUAUAAAUGAAAAAGUUAACAACCAACUCCACAGAAAUGCAAAGGGCCGUAAGAGGUUACUACGAGCAACUAUAUGACAAUAAAAUGCACAUCCUAGAAGAAAUGGACAAAUUCUUAGUAAGGCACAAUCUCCCAAGAUUGAAUUAGGAAGAAAUAGAAAAUAUGAACACACUAAUUACAAGUACUAAAAGUGAGUCUGCGUUUUAAAAACUCCGAACAAGAGUUCCCAUGUGGCGCAGCAAAAACAAAUCUGGCUAGGAACCAUGCAUGAGGUUGCAGGUUCAAUCCCUGGCCUCACUCAGCGGGUUAAGGAUCUGAUGUUGCCAUGAGCUGUGGUGUAGGUAGCAGAGGCAGCUUGGAUCCUGCUUUGCAUGGCUGUGGCGUUGGCUGGGAGCUGUAGCUCUGAUUCGACCCCUUGCCUGGGAACCUCCGUAUGCCAUGGGUGCAGCCCUAAAAAGCAAAACAAAAACAAAAAACCAAAACCAAAAAACUCCCAACAAACAAAAGUUCAAGACUAGAUGCUUUUAGAGAAGAGCUAACACCUAUCCUGAAACUAUUCCAAAAAACUGCAGAGGAAGGAACACUCCCAAACUCAAAGUCUAUGAGGUCACAAUUACCUCGGUACCAAAACCAUACAAAGAUACCACAAAAAAAGAAAAUUAUGGGCAAACAUCACUGAUAAACAUAGAUGUAGAAACCCUCUACAAAAUACUAACAAACUAAAUUCAACACUACAUUAAAAAGAUCAUACACCAUGAUCAAGCAGAAUUUAUCCCAGGGAGGCAAGAACUUUUCAAUAUCUGCAAAUCAAUUAGUGUGAUACACCACAUUAUGAAAUUGAAGAAUAAAAACCACAUGAGAAGUUCCCAUUGUGGCUCAGUGGAAACGAAUCUGACUGGCAUCCAUGAGGACACAGGUUUGAUCCCUGGCCUCUCUCAAUGGGUUAAGGAUCUGGUGUUGCAGUGAGCUCUAGUGUAGGUUGCAUAUGCGGCUUGGAUCUGGUGUUGAUGUGGCUGUAGCGUAGGCUAGCAGCUAUAGCUCUGAUUCAACCCCUAAACUGGGAACCUCCAUAUGCUAUGGGGGGAGCCCUAAAAAUAAAAAACAGAAAAUAUGAUCAUCUCAAUAGAUACAGAAAAAGCUUUUGGCAAAAUUCAACAUCCAUUUUUGAUAAAAACUCUCCAGAAAGUAAACAUAGAAGGAGCAAUUUCAACAUAAUAAGGACAUAUAUGACAAACCCACAGCUAACACCACACUCUAUGGUGAAAAGUUGAAAGCAUUUCUUCUAAGAUCAAAAACAAGACAAAGACGUCAACUAAUGCCACUUUUAUUGAACACAGUAUUGGAAGCACUAGUCACAGUUAUGAGUAUGAAAAAAUAAAUGAAAGGAAUUCAAACUGGAAAAAACGUAAAUUGUCACUGUUUGCACAUGACAUGAUUCUAUACAUAGAAAAUCCUAAAGACACUACCAGAAAACUAUUAGCAUUUAUCAAUGAAUUUGGUAAAGCUGCAGGAUACAAAAUUAACAUACAAAAAUCCAAUGCAUUUAUAUAUGCUUACAAUGAAAGAUCAGAAAGAGAAAUUAAGGAAACAAUAUCAUUUGCCAUCUCGUCAAAAGAAUAAAAUACCUAGGAGUAAACCUACCUGAGUAGGCAAAAACCUGUACCCCCCAAACUGUAAAAUGAAAUCAAAGAUGAUACAAAUAGAAAAGACAUACUGUGCUAGAAGAAUCAAUAUUGUUAAAAAUGCAAUCUAUAUGUUCACUGUAAUCUCUAUCAGAUUACCAAUGUAUUUUUCAAAGACCCAGAAAAAAAAUUGAAAAUAUUUUUGGAAGUACAAAAGAUCCCAAAUAGUCAAAGCAAUCUUAAGAAAAAUGAAGCUGAAGGAAUCAGGCUCCCUGACUUUAGACUAUACUAUAAUUCAAGAGCCAUCAAAACAGUAUAGUACUGGCAUAGAAUCAGAAAUAUAGAUCAAUGGAACAGGAUAGAAAGCGCAGAAAUAUUCCCUUGCACCUAUAGUCAAUUAAACCAAAACAAGGAGGCAAGACAAUGGAGAAAAGACAAUGGUGCUGGGAAAACUGUACAGCUACAUGUGAAAGAAUGAAAUCAGAACAUUCUCUAACACCAUGCACAAAAAUAAACUCAAAAUGGACUAAAGACUUAUGUAAGACUCGUAUUAUAAUACUCCGAGAGGAAAACACAGGCAAAACACUCUUUGACAUAAAUUGCAUAAUUAUCUUUUUGGAUUUGUCUCCUAGAGUAAUGUAAAUAAAAACAAAAAUAAACAAAUGGAACCUAAUUAAACUUAAAAGCUUUUGCACAGCAAAGGAAACCAUAAACAAAAUGAAAAGAUAACCUACAGGAUGUGAGAAGAUAUCUGCAAACCAUGCAACCAACAAGGGAUUAAGCUCUAACAUAUACAGAGUUUAUAAAGCUCAAUAUCAAAAAACAACCUGAUCAAAAAAUGGGCAGAAAACCUAAAUAGAAUUUUCUCUGAGGAUGACAUACAGAUGGCAAACAGGCACAUGAAAAAAUGCUCAGCGUCACUAAUUAUUAGAGAAAUGCAAAUCAAAAUUACAAGGUAUCACCUCACACGGGUCAUAAAGGCCAUCAUCAAAAAUUCCACAAAUAAGGGAGUUCCUGUUGUGGCUCAGUGGUUAACGAAUCCGACUAAGAUCCAUGAGCACUCGGGUUCGAUCCCUGGCCUUGCUCAGUGGGUUAAGGAUCCAGCGAUGCCGUUUGCUGUGGUGUAGGUUGUGGACUCCGCUCGGAUCCCGUGUUGCUGUGGCUCUGGUGUAGGCCGGCGGCUACAGCUCCGAUUGGACCCCUAGCCUGGGACUCUCCAUAUGCAGUGGGAGCAGCCCAAGAAAUGGCAAAAAG